This is a long non-coding RNA of Mesocricetus auratus (golden hamster), 637 nucleotides long. RefSeq lists it as uncharacterized. The record is from RefSeq and is a predicted model, not a curated record. The transcript is spliced from 2 exons. NCBI's taxonomy places the organism in Eukaryota, Metazoa, Chordata, Mammalia, Rodentia, Cricetidae.
UGCUUGGAAGGCCUGGUAGGGGCGGUUACAGGCUUGCGUCACUCAUAUAAAGCUUGUAUGUGCUAUACUGAAGAAUAUCAAGUCUGAAAUAUUUGCUUGACUAUCAAAAUAUUCCAGUGUUUUCCCAGUCACCCAAGCAAACUACCAUGCUGACUUUCAGCCAUUAUGACAAAGCAUCACCAGUCAUCAGGUCCUCUGACUAGGAGGGCCCAUGUCACAGUCACUUAUAAAGAGAGGAUGGCCGGGCUGCUUUGGACUGAUGGACUUGGGGUGAGGGAGAGGGAUGAUGGCGGGAACAGCCAGAGGCUGUCUUAACCAGAACCUCACUGCUGACCAGAGUUGGGGACCGUGAGAAGAUGGCAAAACCCUGUAAAUGUUGGUGUCCAACAUGUUGCACGAAGGAUUUUCCACAGAGACACAAAGCAAAGAAAUCACCCCAGAAAAGGAACAAAAGCCUAAGUGAGGCACACAUGGCUUGGCUGAAGAAACUGCUUGAUUCCAUGCAGUACCAAGUCAUAUUUGUUCCCAUGGCUGACUCAGACGACAGCCCCUCCUGCGGCAGGUCCAAGACCACCAUAAUCAUCAUUGAGCUUGCCUCUCCACCCCAGGGCCUCUGAAUAAACCAUCAUCUUUCUCU